Molecule: ribosomal RNA, 433 nt
Filed under: uncultured bacterium
Lineage: Bacteria
Description: partial 16S ribosomal RNA
Rfam family: Bacterial small subunit ribosomal RNA
Source: RNAcentral
AACGAACGCUGGCGGCAUGCCUAACACAUGCAAGUCGAACGAGACCUUCGGGUCUAGUGGCUCACGGGUGCGUAACGCGUGGGAACCUGCCCUUAUGUUCGGAAUAACUCCCCGAAAGGGGUUCUAAUACCGGAUAAUGUCUUCGGACCAAAGAUUUAUCGCCUUUGGAUGGGCCCGCGUUGUAUUAGCUAGUUGGUAGGGUAAAAGCCUACCAAGGCGACGAUCCAUAGCUGGUCUGAGAGGAUGAUCAGCCACACUGGGACUGAGACACGGCCCAGACUGCUACGGGAGGCAGCAGUGGGGAAUAUUGGACAAUGGGCGAAAGCCUGAUCCAGCAAUGCCGCGUGAGUGAUGAAGGCCUUAGGGUUGUAAAGCUCUUUUACCCGGGAUGAUAAUGACAGUACCGGGAGAAUAAGCUCCGGCUAACUACGUG